RNAcentral lists this ribosomal RNA (1217 nucleotides) under Enterococcus faecalis. RNAcentral describes it as "partial 23S ribosomal RNA". It matches the Rfam family "Bacterial large subunit ribosomal RNA", at positions 411 to 1626 of the family's 2925-position model. Lineage: Bacteria; Bacillati; Bacillota; Bacilli; Lactobacillales; Enterococcaceae. The record is from RNAcentral.
AGUACGGCGGAACACGAGAAAUUCCGUCGGAAUCCGCGGGGACCAUCCCGCAAGGCUAAAUACUCCCUAGUGACCGAUAGUGAACCAGUACCGUGAGGGAAAGGUGAAAAGCACCCCGGAAGGGGAGUGAAAUAGAUCCUGAAACCGUGUGCCUACAACAAGUCAAAGCUCGUUAAUGAGUGAUGGCGUGCCUUUUGUAGAAUGAACCGGCGAGUUACGAUUGCAUGCGAGGUUAAGUCGAAGAGACGGAGCCGCAGCGAAAGCGAGUCUGAAUAGGGCGAAUGAGUAUGUAGUCGUAGACCCGAAACCAUGUGAUCUACCCAUGUCCAGGUUGAAGGUGCGGUAAAACGCACUGGAGGACCGAACCCACGUACGUUGAAAAGUGCGGGGAUGAGGUGUGGGUAGCGGAGAAAUUCCAAACGAACUUGGAGAUAGCUGGUUCUCUCCGAAAUAGCUUUAGGGCUAGCCUCGGAAUUGAGAAUGAUGGAGGUAGAGCACUGUUUGGACUAGGGGCCCAUCUCGGGUUACCGAAUUCAGAUAAACUCCGAAUGCCAUUCAUUUAUAUCCGGGAGUCAGACUGCGAGUGAUAAGAUCCGUAGUCGAAAGGGAAACAGCCCAGACCACCAGCUAAGGUCCCAAAAUAUAUGUUAAGUGGAAAAGGAUGUGGGGUUGCACAGACAACUAGGAUGUUGGCUUAGAAGCAGCCACCAUUUAAAGAGUGCGUAAUAGCUCACUAGUCGAGUGACCCUGCGCCGAAAAUGUACCGGGGCUAAACAUAUUACCGAAGCUGUGGACUACACCAUUAGGUGUAGUGGUAGGAGAGCGUUCUAAGGGCGUUGAAGGUCGAUCGUGAGGACGGCUGGAGCGCUUAGAAGUGAGAAUGCCGGUAUGAGUAGCGAAAGACAGGUGAGAAUCCUGUCCACCGUAUGACUAAGGUUUCCUGGGGAAGGCUCGUCCGCCCAGGGUUAGUCGGGACCUAAGCCGAGGCCGAUAGGCGUAGGCGAUGGACAACAGGUUGAUAUUCCUGUACCAGUUGUUUUUGUUUGAGCAAUGGAGGGACGCAGUAGGCUAAGGAAUGCAUGCGAUUGGAAGUGCAUGUCCAAGCAAUGAGUCUUGAGUAGAGUUAAAUGCUUUACUCUUUAAGGACAAGUUGUGACGGGGAGCGAAAUAAUAGUAGCGAAGUUCCUGAUGUCACACUGCCAAGAAAAGCUUCUAGU